Molecule: ribosomal RNA, 329 nt
Filed under: uncultured eukaryote
Lineage: Eukaryota
Description: partial 18S ribosomal RNA
Rfam family: Eukaryotic small subunit ribosomal RNA
Source: RNAcentral
CCCUUAGAUGUUCUGGGCCGCACGCGCGCUACACUGAUGCAUUCAACGAGUCUAAAACCUGCUCUGAUAGGGGUGGGUAAUCUUUUGAAUGUGCAUCGUGAUUGGGAUAGAUGAUUGCAAUUUUUCAUCUUCAACGAGGAAUGCCUAGUAAACGCAAGUCAUCAGCUUGCAUUGAUUACGUCCCUGCCCUUUGUACACACCGCCCGUCGCUCCUACCGAUUGAAUGAUCCGAUGAAUAUCAUGGAUUGAGGAUGCAAGCAGGUUCGCCUGUCUUCAUCUUCGAGAAGUGAAGUAAAUCUUAUCAUUGAGAGGAAGGAGAAGUCGUAACA